Molecule: long non-coding RNA, 1681 nt
Filed under: Volvox carteri
Lineage: Eukaryota; Viridiplantae; Chlorophyta; Chlorophyceae; Chlamydomonadales; Volvocaceae
Description: long non-coding RNA (VCAR_LNC002084)
Source: RNAcentral
UAACUUCUAUAUCCGAGAUUAGGCUCUUAAUAGCUUAAUAUAAUGUAAAUUUAAUGUAGCUAACUACAAUCCGCUAGCCAGCAGAGAAUUUGCAUUGUGUCACGCAGUGCCGACCAAGGUGCACCUUAUAAUUAUAUGAAUCACUCUCCGUAGUUAAUUUGCCAUUGUAGUGCCUUAUCCGGAAGGAUAAUAGCUAAACGAAAAUGGUGUCGUCGACCAGACUGCCCCUAAAAAACAAAAUGAAAUCCCCAGUGCUUUGCUGCUGCCUUUUGCUGGCUAUAUCGUGGUCAUGGACUCCUACCGUGUAUGCCGCCGGUGAGCUUCCUCCGAGUAUUUGAAUGAACAAAAUAAAAUAUGCACGCAAAGCAUUACUCUUACAGUUCACCAAGAAUGGCCUCCCUCCCAGCCCCGCAGCACCAAAUGUGAGUGCUUGCCUUUCAUAAAGUUACAUACGUUGCAAACAUCCAUGCAUGCAAUUGCGUGCAUGAAAAUUCACCAUAGUACAUAAAUGGCGAAGUAGGAAUCAGCGGCUUGUUUUUACCCCAGCCAUAUUCACAGCAGAUAACGACUGAGUAUUACACAGAAGCCAGCUCAUUUAUGUAGCUACCCUGCAUCUGACGUUCUGUACUCCGCCGAUAAGGCAAAUCAUUCCAUCUAUUUGUUCAAGAUCUUUGUAAUGUACAAGUCCGAUAAAACAUGACUGACCUAAACGCAGUCCCAAAAGCUGUGUAAUGCAAACACGACUUGCCAUGGCAUGGGCGUCAAAGCCUGCAUCUAAAUGGUUAUAGAUCUAUUACCAUCGCCGUUUCUUAAACCCCCUUACCCUUAGCCUUUGUUUCCCUAAGAUCCUCUUCAGUCAAGACCCCAACUGGCAACCCCACCUCCUCCGUCUGUACACCUUUCCUUUUCUUUCCAAACACAUUGGCUGCGUGCUUGGAAAGGUUGCACACCACCUGCCGGUUGGUGCGUGAGCGUGGAAAUGGAGGACGUGUUUCGGGUCCUCGAUUGCGAUGGCGAUGGACUGCUGGACCUCACCUGUGUCAACAAGCUAGGCAACCGCUGGGCGCUGCUCACGACUAGGAAUUGUGAUGGAGACUUUGGGGGCAAUGCGCCGGCAGAUGUUUGCCCCAGAGUCUUUGCAGUUCCACCACCACCGCCGCCUUCAACACCACCUUCACCAACAUUCACAGGUUAGCAUGGCCUUGGUGCCCGAAGCCCGGGCUUUAAGGAAUGGAAUAUUUACGGAGCACUCUUCUGUCUGAGAGGACAUGCUGUGUAUGUUGUAAUAUUGUCGUGCAACUGCAUGCGGCACGCUGCCGUGCAAGUGUAGAUUUGUUUAAUGUUAACCACAUCGUGUCCUAGCGUAAGAGCUAGGGUCGGGUCCUGUGUAACAUCCAAGGGCAUGACCAAUAGAUGGUAGUACAUACUUACAUAGUAGGAUAGGGAUUUAAACUCAACCGGGGUUUUACGAACGGGGCUCAGUCGAUGAGCAUGUGGUUGUUCGACUAACCAACUAACCUCACUUCCUCCGUCUGUACACCUUUCCUUUUCUUUCCAAACACAUUGGCUGCGUGCUUGGAAAGGUUGCACACCACCUGCCGGUUGGUGCGUGAGCGUGGAAAUGGAGGACGUCUAUAGGGUCCUCGAUUGCGAUGGCGAUGGACUGCUGGACCUCACCUGU